Molecule: ribosomal RNA, 385 nt
Filed under: uncultured bacterium
Lineage: Bacteria
Description: bacterial SSU rRNA
Rfam family: Bacterial small subunit ribosomal RNA
Source: RNAcentral
GACGAACGCUGGCGGCGUGCUUAACACAUGCAAGUCGAGCGGUAAGGCCCUUUCGGGGGUACACGAGCGGCGAACGGGUGAGUAACACGUGGGUGACCUGCCUUUAGCUCUGGGAUAAGCCUGGGAAACUGGGUCUAAUACCGGAUAUGACUCCGCGGUGCAUGCUGUGGGGUGGAAAGCCUUGUGCGGCUGGAGAUGGGCCCGCGGCCUAUCAGCUUGUUGGUGGGGUGANGGCCUACCAAGGCGACGACGGGUAGCCGGCCUGAGAGGGCGACCGGCCACACUGGGACUGAGACACGGCCCAGACUCCUACGGGAGGCAGCAGUGGGGAAUCUUGCGCAAUGGGCGAAAGCCUGACGCAGCGACGCCGCGUGAGGGAUGACGG